Molecule: ribosomal RNA, 465 nt
Filed under: uncultured bacterium
Lineage: Bacteria
Description: partial 16S ribosomal RNA
Rfam family: Bacterial small subunit ribosomal RNA
Source: RNAcentral
GACGAACGCUGGCGGCGUGCUUAACACAUGCAAGUCGUACGGUAAGGCCCUUUCGGGGGUACACGAGUGGCGAACGGGUGAGUAACACGUGAGUAACCUGCCCACAACUUUGGGAUAACGCUAGGAAACUGGUGCUAAUACUGGAUAUGUGCUCCUGCUGCAUGGUGGGGGUUGGAAAGCUCCGGCGGUUGUGGAUGGACUCGCGGCCUAUCAGCUUGUUGGUGGGGUAGUGGCCUACCAAGGCGGCGACGGGUAGCCGGCCUGAGAGGGUGACCGGCCACAUUGGGACUGAGAUACGGCCCAGACGCCUACGGGAGGCAGCAGUGGGGAAUAUUGCACAAUGGGCGCAAGCCGGAUGCAGCAACGCCGCGGGCGGGAUGACGGCCUUCGGGUUGUAAACCGCUUUCAGCAGGGACGAAGCUUUUUGUGACGGUACCUGCAGAAGAAGCACCGGCUAACUACGUG